CUUAUUGGUUAAGUUUCUAUCAACUCUAUUAGCAUUUCAUUUGAUAUACUUACUUAUCAUGCCCAUUUGUAGUUGUAGUUUAUUUUAUCUAUUUUGGAUAAUAUUACAAGGGCUUGCAAAAUGUCACUAAAAGAUAUUACCUUUUUUUGUGUUGAGGAGGCGUGGUCUAGCUUUAUCGGCUCGCCACACUUUCGGUACUCCAACUGCUUUUCUGCUUCUAGCUCACGUGGUUUUGUUCGCCUACUCUGCUAUCUCCAAACGAAUCCCGAGUUUCUUCCUUGCUUCUUGAUCUAGAUGCUUCUUCUCUCUGCAUGAUACUCAUCUCCUGGUGUGAUGAUAAGUCAGACGCUUUAGUUUUUAUAUCUAAAAGGCUCGAAGAGCUGCAUAUUAAAGGAGUGGGUUCUGCUGGCCUAUCUUCGGCUGCACUGCUAGAAUUGAAUGCUUCUAUAUGGGUUUGGGAAGGAAAGUUAGGGUUGGACUUGAGGGAAUUAAGUGGCCUUUCUGACUUCAUGCUAAAGCCAUUAUUCAUUAGUACUAUCGAUCGUGGUGACAUAAAAAAGUAAUUAUCAUUCUGCCUUGGGAUAUUUCACAAAUCUCACAAAUUAGUCACAAGUUUUCCUCACUACGUCUACGUACCAUUUAUUUCCUAAAUCAUUUUAUUUUAUUCUUAUAUAUACACGUCUGCAAAAUUAUUUUCAAAUAAUUUAAAGUAUACCACUUUUUUGGAUUUCUUUUAUAUUUGUAACAUAUUCAUGUCUUGUUUUGGGAUGUCUUGGUCAAUCAUGGUUUUGUUUGAACUGGAGAUUGUUUCGACACAUGUUAUUUGAUUCAUUUGUUACUCAUUGGCUUCAGCUUCUUCUUUUCUUUCUUUCUUUCUCUUUUUUUUGCCAACUGGAUUGAAUCAAAAUGAAGUCAACAUGAGAAAAUUCACAUUAUUGCUUGUGCACAUGCACAGUUGCGUAUGCUUCCGGAGAGAAGCGUGUAUCAUCUGACGUUUCCUCCCUAAGAGAGUUAAAUCGUUUUAAAACUUCUCAACAUGUUUAUUAAUUUUUCCUCCUCGCUUUAGUAAGUUGUCUUCAAAUUUCAAAACGUCAGGGUUAUCAUUUUAUACUCCAGUUUUUGUACACUUAUUCAUAUCCAGUUCUCCCAUUUUGAUCUUUUCACUUGCGCCGCUCUAAACGACAUUGUAAAUGGAUGUCAUAUUAAGCUGUUGUCGUGACAUGAUUUAGAACAAAUGACUAUCGUUUUUAAUUUUAUCUAUCUUGGUCAUUUCAAGUUUUCUGAAGUUUUUAUGGAGUUAUUUGUCUAAGAUUUUUAGUGUGAUCUAUGACAUGGGAGCUGCCAUGAAAUAUUAGGUAUUGAUACUAUUCUGCUGUGGGACUGCUGUCGAAAUUGGUUAUGUAAAGUUCCGUCACAAUUCUGGGACAUGCUGUAUAUAGUUUGUCAAUUGCAUUCGUCGGUUAAAUUACUGGUGUUUUGUU
This is a long non-coding RNA of Asparagus officinalis (garden asparagus), 1481 nucleotides long. RefSeq lists it as uncharacterized. The record is from RefSeq and is a predicted model, not a curated record. NCBI's taxonomy places the organism in Eukaryota, Viridiplantae, Streptophyta, Magnoliopsida, Asparagales, Asparagaceae. The transcript has 2 exons.